RNAcentral lists this transfer RNA (62 nucleotides) under Typhlocyba choui. Its description in RNAcentral is "tRNA-Asp". Lineage: Eukaryota; Metazoa; Arthropoda; Insecta; Hemiptera; Cicadellidae. The record is from RNAcentral.
AAAGGUUUAGUUUAAAAAAAACAUUAACUUGUCAAGAUAAAAUUAUAUAAAAAUAACCUUUU